AUUUAACUAACGAGCCCCAAAUAGGACGAAACGCGUGUCCUGAAU
RNAcentral lists this non-coding RNA (45 nucleotides) under Schistosoma curassoni. The record is from RNAcentral. Lineage: Eukaryota; Metazoa; Platyhelminthes; Trematoda; Strigeidida; Schistosomatidae.